Molecule: transfer RNA, 72 nt
Organism: Hypsibius dujardini
Lineage: Eukaryota; Metazoa; Tardigrada; Eutardigrada; Parachela; Hypsibiidae
Rfam family: tRNA
About the family: Transfer RNA (tRNA) molecules are approximately 80 nucleotides in length. Their secondary structure includes four short double-helical elements and three loops (D, anti-codon, and T loops).
Source: Rfam
GGGCCGUUAGAUCAGUGGUAGAUCGCUCGCUUUGCAUGCGAGAUGUCGAGGGUUCAAACCCCUCACGGUCCA